UGGGGCGUGGCCUGCGGGGCCGGCCCGUGUCCGUCUUACGUAGCCUGGGCGGUGGCGGUGGGCUCCUGGUCCGGCGAGGGGCCUUCGGCGGACGAGGUGGCGGUGGCAGCGUGGGGGCAGCUCGGGACCCACAGCCCUCCUCCCCUCCAGCACCUGCAGGAUCUGCUGCUGCUCUGGAGAGGCCCGGAGCAGACACUGGACCACCAGCCAGCUGCAUUUGUUCUCCUGGAUGUCAGUGCCAAUCUUGCCCGUCACACUGGGGUCCCCAAAGAGGUCGAGCAGGAUCUUCCUGGCACUGCUGUGCUCCUUCUCCCCGUCGAUGCCCGCCUGGCGAGGGGAUGAAAAGGAAAGUUGGAGAAGCAAGGGCAGGGAAGGCAAUGAAUACCACUGCCGCCCGUGAAUGCUGCCUGAAUUCUCUCCUCCCGACUCCUGUCCACAGGCAGAUGGAGGAUUUCUUGUUCCCCUGGGAUGGGCCGACCACUUUCAUGCCACAUGCCUCAGUGAACCUUUACAACAAUCCUGUGAGGAGGGCGCAGCUCACAGUGGCCCGUGUGGGGAUCGAAUCGGCAACCUUGGUGCUACCAGCACCACGCUCUAAGCAACCGAGCUAACCUGUCAGUGCCUGGGAUUCCAGUCUUUGUAAGAGACCCCACAGAGCUGCCUGGCCACACCCACCACAAGAAGAUACAGCGAGCAGGUGCCAGCUCUGAACCAGGAAGCCGGCCCUCACCCCCCCACGCUGGUGCCUUGACCCUGGACGUCCCAGCCUCCAGAACUGUGAGAACCAAAUUUCUGUUGUUUAUAAACCACUCAGUCCCCGGUAUUUUGUUGCAGCAGUCCACACAGCCUAAGGCAGAUGUAAUAAAGGUACUGUGGUUAUAUAGGCAAAUAUCCUUGUUUUUCGGAGGUAAACACUGAAACCGAAAAAAGAAGAGGUUGAAGGAGAUGAGGCAGAAGUAGAAAGACAAUAGAAGCAGAGAUUAGAACUAAAAUCGCCCAAGGAAAAACGGCAGUGGACAGCUCAAAUGGCAGCGGGGAGAUAUGAUAGCAUUCCAGCCGUGUUUUCCAAAAAAAACACCACUCCCAGGUGAACCCAGGUGCCAGCAGGGUUGACAACUGACUCUACAGGUGAGCUGCUGGCCCUCCAGGUCUCCCUUUCCAUGGCCGCGCAGCUCUGCUCCUCUCCUCCACCCCUCCUUCCUUCUUCACCAGUCGCCUCCAUGUUUAUGGGCAUCUCAGCCCGUCCUGAUUCCUACAGGGACCCUCUGUCCCCCGGGGCCCUGUCCCUCAGGGAUGCCGUCGUCCCUUUACCUCCUUGGAGGCAAAUCCCCUUCUCCAGCCCCAUGUCGCAAGCUCGUCUGGAAUUUUCCACACCCACAGGACAGACAGCUCUACCAGCUCCAGCAGGACCGUGAGUGCCGUGCUGCUCCGUCUGAUCUCGUCACCACUCCCUCCGGAGCCAGUGGCUCCUUUCCUGGGCGAGGCACCUCACUACCACCUAUCAUCCACCAAAUCCUGAGCGGCUCAUUGCCACGCUUCAGGGCAUGGCACCCGCCCAGGAUUCACUGCCUCCGUUACUAAUGAAAGCUUGAGGCCAGGCCACCAACUAUCAGUGGGCCUCCUGUUUCCAAUCUCUGCUCUAGAAUAAUCUUCUGGAAGAACUAUGUCCCUUUGCUCAGAGGAGAGGUGACACGUCUAUGCCCAGUUCCAAGGCCCUGGCCCACAGGAAGCCUGCAGGUGAAAUGUGUACCUACUGGCAAGAGUGUCUGUUAGCCCGUAGGUAAUUCAUUGUGUAAAUUCGGCCGCAGCACCCAAGAGGCACAGAAACAUAAAUAACCCAGAAACGAGUUUCAGGCCCAUCCUUCCCGCUCCCACCCAGGGCACCCCCACCAGGAA
Molecule: long non-coding RNA, 1896 nt
Organism: Rhinolophus ferrumequinum (greater horseshoe bat)
Lineage: Eukaryota; Metazoa; Chordata; Mammalia; Chiroptera; Rhinolophidae
Exons: 5
Source: RefSeq, a predicted model, not a curated record